UCACUGGUGAUAUAAAUAUAGGAUGAUAAUGUCUAAUAGUGUGGCUAAAAAGUCAUUUUCAAAACUGAUAUAGUAUAUAUUGUUGUAAAGCAUUGCUGAUUAAUAUACUGCUAUUCUUCUGCUUCCUUUAUGCCCUAUUAUGUUCCUACUCCACCCCAGGGGGCGCUUGUUGCUCUGUGAGUCUCAGGCCUCUAAUCAUAGCAACCAAUUGCAGAUGACAAGUUGGGGCUUGUCUGUUGUGAGCUGUGAGCCAAUGGGCAGAGCCAGAGCUUCAGCUUCCUCUCCGUCUCAGUGCACUGCAGCCUGCUGCUGCCUGCCUGUAGAUUUAUAGUAGCGCUCACUGCUCUGUGCUGCUCUGAUGCUCACCCACACACCCACAGCUGUUCAGCCUGGCUAGUCCCACAGAGAGAGAAGCAGAGAGGCAGUGUGUCUCCAAGCCUCUACAAAACACAAUCAGAUCCUUCUCACGAGUCUCUGUGUCCACUGCUACUCCACUGACUGACACAGAGCUUUACUCUACCAGCGGAGGUGCUGUGAGCGGCUGGAGGUCGUCAUGGCAACCCAGAGACAUGUACCCAGUGACAGUCUGGCUAGAACAUUCAGGUCCUGUGCCAGAAACCCUAGUGAUGUCAUCUCCGCUAGACUGAGAGACAUGUGCCACACCUUCAUCCAGCACUACCAGGAACCAUGGGAAGAGAACCACAGCCUAGACAGAGAGAGAGGAGUUCUCCAGCCAGACAGAGACUUUGUACUACAGGGUUCUAGAGGCUGUCAUCAAUCAGGAGAGGAAGAGGCUGGGAGCCAAAGACAUUUUAGUGAGUCCUCUGCCCUCUGUUGUGUAUGACUGGAACUGCACUGUUUAGUGUCAUUAAGCCUUCACUUUAUAAUUCCCUCUGGGGGCACUGUUGUAUUUUAUUUAUGUAUUUUUUAUUUAACCUUUAUUUAACCUAAGCAAGUCAGUUAAGAACAAAUUCUUAUUUACAAUGACGGCCUACCAAAAGGCAAAUGGCCUCUAGCUGGGACAGAGGCCUGGGAUUAAAAUAAAUAAAUACAAUAUAAAUAUAGGACAAAAUGUUAUACAGACAUGUAUAGUAUAGAGGUUGUCCUUGAUGACUUGUUUCUUGGCAUACUGGAGCAUGAUCUGUUCCAGCGCUCUCUAGUGGCCUGUUGUCUGGAGAUGGUAAUCUUCUCCCAUCAGCCACCAGGCAGCUUCCCCCUGGUCAUUGACAUCUUUAGCCUGACGCCAUACGACUUCUACAAGGUGAUAGAGCUGGUGCUGCGGGCUGAGGAGGGCUUGCUGCUAAGAGUCAGGGACAGCUGCCUGCAUACCAUCAGGUGAUGCUUCCCCAAUACUCAGAGGACAAAGACAAGAUGGCCAAGAUCCCUCCCAACCCUUCACAGUUGACCUCAAGCCUUGUGAAUGGGAUCCAUGGAAAUGACCUGAACUCCCCGAUUACCCACCAUGAACGCUACAGCUCACCCCCUGCUGGCUCAAAGAUGGCCGCUUGCCCUACCACACCAGUCAGCCCAUCCCCCUCCUCCUCUGUCAUUGUUACUGGACAGACUGUAGUCACCAUGGCAUCAGCCACUGUCACCACCAACAAUGACCAGUCAGUCACCAUACCGGUUCGAGGCAUUGACAAUGACCGGGGAGCCAUCACAUUUACCCUCAGUGUUGUAGGUCAGCCCAUUCCUCCACAGCAAGUCUCCAACACCUCUACCCAGCAGCCCCAGAACCCUCUACCCUCUACCCAGAGUAAGGGCUCCAUCUCCCUGUUCCUCCGCAAGGUCUACUACCUGGUGAGCAUGCGUCUGAGGGACAUCUGUGUUAAACUGGACAUCUGUGAGGCGCUGCGGCUGAAGAUCUGGACCUGCGUUAAACACUGCACUGACCUCAUUCUAGACCGACACCUGGACCAAAUACUCAUAUGUGCCAUCUAUGUGAUGGCCAAGGUAACCAAAGUGGACAUGCCCUUCAAGCUCAUCUUGCAGUGCUACAAGACUCAGCCUCAAGCAAGCAACUGUUCUGUAUUGUCCUUCUGUCAGGUAUUCAGAAGUGAUCUGAUCUCAGGGAGAAACACCAAGACCUCACAAAACUCUCCUGGAGGAUCCAACAGAGAAAACGUUGAUGUAGACCCCAGCAGAAGCUUUCUUACCUACCAGAGCCCUCCCACCCAUCGUACAGGACCCAGAGCUCCCUGUAGACAGGGCCAGGAGGAGAGAGGACACCUCAUCUAUUUCUACAACACCGUCUAUGUCAAACAGAUGAAGGACUUUGCCCUGCGCUUUACCUCCAGCUCUCUGACCAUAGCCGGGACUUCAUCAACAACCAACAACCUCAACAGGACGUCUGUUUUAAUCAAUCUCCCACUGGACUGAACCAUGGGGUGCAACACCAGCAGGGAUGUUGUCGUGGUAGACCCUUCUAAAAAGCCAGAGACCAGACCAGCGUCGGCCAGCUCGACCAGUAAGGCCACCGUUGAGGAGACUAAAGAAACUACAGAGAAAGACAAAGAUGAAACAGAAGGCAUAUCAAGCUGCGACUGACCUCCAUCUUUCUUAACCCAAACUCCUCAAAAUUGGCCUGUCUGCAGGUGGAGGACCUGCCUGCAAAGGAAGGCAAUGCUGCACAACUGUCCAUCAACCCCUGUGUCAUCUGGGACCAGACCAGCCACACACCCCACUCCACUCUGUGAUGUAACCAACCAGCCACACACCCCGCUCCACUCUGUGAUGUAACCAACCAGCCACACGCCCCGCUCCACUCUGUGAUGUAACCAACCAGCCACACACCCCGCUCCACUCUGUGAUGUAACCAACCAGCCACACGCCCCGCUCCACUCUGUGAUGUAACCAACCAGCCACACACCCCGCUCCAAUCUGUGAUGUAGACCUACCAGCCAAACACUCUGCUCUGUGAUGUAGACCUACCAGCCACAGGUUCCUUACUCUGUCUACUGUUGCUGGUCCAGAACACUCUCUCUCUCUCAAUCUCUCAACUGGACUUUCAGUGUCCACAGUGCCAUGUUUAUAUCCUGUUAAUGUGCCAGUAUGGUCAUUGUAACAACAAUGAGACAUGGUAGUAAAUGUAUAGAUUCAAUUUGACUAAUGUCCUUUAUUGUUUUUGAUGUCAUUUAUUGUUAUUUACCUCCAUCUCUAUCUCACCCUCUAUCACACACCUCUGUUCUAAGGUGGCAGUUACAAUCAGUUACUUCAAAAGCUUCCAACCCUGCCACAGGCUAAACCAAACCGCAGCCAAAUCAGUAGGCUUUGAAGGCAGUUAUUUUUGCAGCUGUACAGCAUAUUACUGAUCACUCCAGCAGUCCUAGGCUCCAACACUACAUAACACUGCAUCAGGAAGCUGUUACAGCUCUGUGUUUGGGUAGACAGCAGCCUGCUUGUUAUUACCCAUAAAGGAAAUGGUUCCCAUAGAUACAAAUACUAUAUACUGCAAUGCCUUUUUUGCCACCAGGUGGCAUGUAAACACAACUGCAGUUCUGUUUGUCACCACCAGGGUGCAGAAGCGAUCCAUCAGUAUUUGGUGGGCUAUCCAAGGCCCUGGUCCAUUUACUCAAGACAUUUAAUCUGAAAUAUAUGUUGUAAAUGUAUUACCAGCGAGUGAAUAGAGCUAGAAGGGAAUAGCCUUUCACAAAGCCCAUAUCACAAAUACCCAUCACAGAGGAAGCGGGAAAUUACAUGAAAAUAUUACCAUUAUACAAAUGGAAAUUGUGAUUGAAUAAUGUGUUUGAGAAGAUAAAUGGAAAGCACUUUGUUAGAAAAUGUGGUGCUAAAUAGCUUUUUAAUUUCAGAUGUGGGAUAAAACAAAACACAUUUCUACUCCAUUUUCACUGGCAAUUGAUUAGUGGUUCCACACCUGCAGAGAGAAGGGCUCUUAUCUUCUCAUUAUCAGUUAAUUAAUAUGCAUGCACACAUGUCUAUUAUCUUUCCUCUGCCAUUUAGCAGAAUUGAGACAUUGAUGUUGUAAUGGCCUUGGAUGACUUCUCUCUCUGUUGCUUUAAGGAGAAAUAAGACACAUGACUGACAUUGUCUUUAAUUGUUGUAAAAGAAAAUUAAAUGAAAAUAAAAUAAAAUAAAAAGGAAAAACAAAUUCUUUACAUCAUAUUCAAUAUGACAUCACCAUUCCCCUCUGGGAGGUGUAUCUAUAAACACAGCAACUCUUAUUUGAUUGACUGUAUUUAAGUUAGCAGCUAUUCUAUGGUACUGUAGCUUUACGAAACAAGCCAUUUGGUGCACUGUGUAUACCUAAGAAAG
Oncorhynchus masou masou (cherry salmon) is the source of this 4272-nucleotide RNA transcript. It is a transcript of the gene named retinoblastoma-like protein 2, with no coding region annotated. Lineage: Eukaryota; Metazoa; Chordata; Actinopteri; Salmoniformes; Salmonidae. The transcript is spliced from 13 exons. The record is from RefSeq and is a predicted model, not a curated record.